GAUGAACGCUGGCGGCGUGCCUAACACAUGCAAGUCGAGCGAUUUACUUCGGUAAAGAGCGGCGGACGGGUGAGUAACGCGUGGGUAACCUGCCCUGUACACACGGAUAACAUACCGAAAGGUAUGCUAAUACGAGAUAAUAUACUUUUAUCGCAUGGUAGAAGUAUCAAAGCUCCGGCGGUACAGGAUGGACCCGCGUCUGAUUAGCUAGUUGGUAAGGUAACGGCUUACCAAGGCGACGAUCAGUAGCCGACCUGAGAGGGUGAUCGGCCACAUUGGAACUGAGACACGGUCCAAACUCCUACGGGAGGCAGCAGUGGGGAAUAUUGCACAAUGGGCGAAAGCCUGAUGCAGCAACGCCGCGUGAGCGAUGAAGGCCUCGGUCGUAAGAC
RNAcentral lists this ribosomal RNA (392 nucleotides) under uncultured bacterium. RNAcentral's name for it is "bacterial SSU rRNA". It matches the Rfam family "Bacterial small subunit ribosomal RNA", at positions 28 to 431 of the family's 1533-position model. The record is from RNAcentral.